AAGACUUCCCUCUCUAAGGUUUUAUUGUAAUCAGCCGAUGCUCGUCCCAAGCCGAGAAAUUCUAACAUUUGUUAGAAGAAUUGAGAGGGCAAU
This 93-nucleotide non-coding RNA is filed under the name unclassified sequences. The record is from RNAcentral.